This 2136-nucleotide ribosomal RNA is filed under the name Beraea pullata. RNAcentral describes it as "partial large subunit ribosomal RNA". The record is from RNAcentral. Lineage: Eukaryota; Metazoa; Arthropoda; Insecta; Trichoptera; Beraeidae.
GGAUUCCCCGAGUAGCGGCGAGCGAAACGGGAACAGCCCAGCGCUGAAUCCUGCAGCCCGGAGCCGGGCUGCCGGGAAAUGUAGCGUUCGGCAGGAGAGUAAAAUUUAAACGCGCGGUCAUUAGUCACGGCUGCCAGUCCAAGUUCAUCUUGAACGGGGCCGCUUACCCGCAGAGGGUGCCAGGCCCGUGGCGACGGUAGCCGGCCGCGACGGUCUCCCUGCCCAGAGUCGGGUUGCUUGAGAGUGCAGCCCUAAGAGGGUGGUAAACUCCAUCUAAGGCUAAAUACCACCACGGGACCGAUAGCGAACAAGUACCGUGAGGGAAAGUUGAAAAGAACUUUGAAGAGAGAGUUAAAGAGUGCGUGAAACCGUUCAGGGGUAAACCUGUGGAACUCGAACGAGCGAACGGGGAGAUCAUCGCUCAUCCGACGGCGGCCCGCGCCUCUCUCGCCACCCGCGUCUCCCUCCUCGCGGAGGGGGCUCGGGGGCUGGAGGGUGCGCGAUCACGGUCCCCGGAGGGCGUGCACUUCUCCCCCAGUAUAACACCGCGACCCGUCGCGCUGCCGUCGAACGCGCCGUGCGGCAGUCCGGUCCCGUAAUGCGGGGCCGAGCCGCGGCGUCGACGCGUCGGCAGCAAACGUUCAUUCGCAGCGACGGUAGAGAACGAGGACCGGAUCCGCUCGACCCUCGGGUCGAGCGUCCGUCGCGCGUCAGCGGCGCCGAGCCGGCGGCCCCCGGCGCCUUGUGCGUCGCGGGCGUCGCCGGCCGGACGUCGGUCGUUAGGCGCGCGCUCUCGGACAGGAUCCGUCCCGGUCGGCGGUGGUUUUGUUUCGGGCACCCACAGGACCCGUCUUGAAACACGGACCAAGGAGUCUAGCAUGUGCGCGAGUCAUUGGGACUCGUAGAACUAAACCCAGAGGCGCAAUGAAAGUGAAAGGUCGGACCUCGGGUCCUUCCUGCGAGGGAAGAUGCGCGGGCGGUCCUCGGCCGCCCCGCCGCAUUCCCGAGGCGUUUCGAGAAAGCCACCGUGCGACUAUCGAGACGCACUGAGAGCGCACACGCUGGGACCCGAAAGAUGGUGAACUAUGCCUGGNNGGAACUGGGUAUAGGGGCGAAAGACUAAUCGAACUAUCUAAUANCUGGUUCCWACCGAAGUUUCCCUCAGGAUAGCUGGCGCUCGAGAAACAUGCGCGUGCCGCCCCUCGGGGCGCGCCGCAUUCGAACAGUCUCAUCCGGUAAAGCGAAUGAUUAGAGGCAUUGGGGCCGAAAUGGCCUCAACCUAUUCUCAAACUUUAAAUGGGUGAGAUCUCCGUCUUGCUCGAAGAUGAAGUCGGAGCUCGGAUGGGAGUGCCAAGUGGGCCAAUUUUGGUAAGCAGAACUGGCGCUGUGGGAUGAACCAAACGUCGAGUUAAGGCGCCCAACGGACGCUCAUCGGAGACCAUAAAAGGCGUUGGUCGCUCAUGACAGCAGGACGGUGGCCAUGGAAGUCGGAAUCCGCUAAGGAGUGUGUAACAACUCACCUGCCGAAGCAACCAGCCCUGAAAAUGGAUGGCGCUGUAGCGUCCGGCCUAUACUCGACCGUCGCAGGCAAGUGGGGCGUUCCGGACGGUGGGUUCGCCCUCCGUCCGCGUCUUGAGGCCGCGACGAGUAGGAUGGCCGCGGCGGUGUGCGCAGAAGGGUCUGGGCGUGAGCCCGCCUGGAGCCUCCGUCGGCGCAGAUCUUGGUGGUAGUAGCAAAUACUCAAGCGAGAUCCUUGAGGGCUGAUGUGGAGAAGGGUUUCGCGUUAACAGCCGUUGCACGCGAGUUAGUCGAUCCUAAGCCCUAGGAGAGAUCCGAUGUUGAUGAUGGUGUCAAGUUAUGUAUGUCCAUAUAUAUGUACGUGAUGAAACACACCCGUCGGGCGAAAGGGAAUCCGGUUGCAGUUCCGGAACCCGGCUGCGGAACCGUCUUAAAAAUCGUUCCCUCUCACAAAAGAGUGUUCGUCGGGGUAACCCAAAGUGGCCUGAAGACGCCGACGGGAGAUCCGGAGAGAGUUAUCUUUUCUGCCUGAGCGUUCGAGCGCCCUGGAAUCCUUUAGCGGGGAGAUAGGGCUCGGGACGCGAAGAGCAUCNCNGAUGCGGCGGUGUCCGGAUCGGC